GCUAUUUUGACAGAAUAAUGUCUUAAAUUUAGAAUUUAAUUAAAUGUAAAAAAAUUACAUAAAUAGUA
This 68-nucleotide transfer RNA is filed under the name Phryganopsyche latipennis. Its description in RNAcentral is "tRNA-Leu". The record is from RNAcentral. Lineage: Eukaryota; Metazoa; Arthropoda; Insecta; Trichoptera; Phryganopsychidae.